Molecule: long non-coding RNA, 286 nt
Organism: Armigeres subalbatus
Lineage: Eukaryota; Metazoa; Arthropoda; Insecta; Diptera; Culicidae
Exons: 3
Source: RefSeq, a predicted model, not a curated record
UAUUAGAUUAUCUUUAUGAGCAGUUUAAAAUUAUUAUGAAUUCUGGAUUCUAAACUUAAAUCUAAUACUUAAUUUAUCCUUAUUAGUUGUUGAUAGUACGAACAUUGCACAGAGGUAACAGCGGUGAGAAUAUUGGUGUGAAUUGAAGAUCGAUUAUUGAAGAUUGUGACGCAGUGCGUGAUAGACCUACCAAAUCCCUGCAGGCUUAUACUAAGGCAGAUAUUACAUACGUACCGUACAGGACCGCUUUCCGGAUAUAACGGGACAUUGUAAAAGACACUAAACG